Molecule: ribosomal RNA, 357 nt
Filed under: uncultured bacterium
Lineage: Bacteria
Description: bacterial SSU rRNA
Rfam family: Bacterial small subunit ribosomal RNA
Source: RNAcentral
GACGAACGCUGGCGGCGUGCCUAAUACAUGCAAGUCGAACGCUCUUUUCUUAUCGAACUUCGGUUCACCAAGAAAAGGGAGUGGCGAACGGGUGAGUAACGCGUUGGUGACCUGCCCCGAAGUGUGGAAUAACAGAUCGAAAGAGCUGCUAAUACCGCAUAAUAUCCAGAAGAUUAGACGCUUUUGGAUUAAAGGAUUUUAUUCGCUUCGGGAGGGGCCUGCGUCCCAUCAGCUAGUUGUAAGUAAUGGCUUACCAAGGCUAUGACGGUAGGGACCUGAGAGGUGGCCCCCCANAAUGGAACUGAAACACGGUCCAUACACCUACGGGUGCAGCAGUAGGAAUAUUAGUAAUGGGAC